UCAGGUGGCCGCAGAGAAUAGGCCCAAGCGACUGUUUACCAAAAACAUAGGUUUCUGCUAAGUCGCAAGACGAUGUAUAGGAGCUGACGCCUGCCCGGUGCUGGAAGGUUAAGGGGAUCUGUUAGAGCAAUCGAAGCAGUGAACUUAAGCCCCAGUAAACGGCGGCCGUAACUAUAACGGUCCUAAGGUAGCGAAAUUCCUUGUCGGGUAAGUUCCGACCCGCACGAAAGGCGUAACGAUUUGGGCACUGUCUCAACAACAGACUCGGUGAAAUUGUAAUUCCGGUGAAGAUGCCGGAUACCGGCGACAGGACGGAAAGACCCCAUGGAGCUUUACUGUAGCUUGACAUUGGGUCUUGGUACUACAUGUACAGGAUAGGUGGGAGGCUUUGAAACCAGGACGCCAGUUUUGGCGGAGCCAUCCUUGGGAUACCACCCUUGUAGUACUGGGACUCUAACCAUAGGCCAUGAAUCUGGUCUUGGGACACUGUCAGGUGGGCAGUUUGACUGGGGCGGUCGCCUCCCAAAAGG
RNAcentral lists this ribosomal RNA (530 nucleotides) under Clostridioides difficile. RNAcentral's name for it is "bacterial LSU rRNA". It matches the Rfam family "Bacterial large subunit ribosomal RNA", at positions 1769 to 2297 of the family's 2925-position model. Lineage: Bacteria; Bacillati; Bacillota; Clostridia; Peptostreptococcales; Peptostreptococcaceae. The record is from RNAcentral.